ACUUCCCAGGCCGGAACGAAAAGUGCGGAGGAGCGAUCUGAAGGGCUUUUGGCUUGUGGUUGUGAUGUUGUGUUUGCUAUUUGUUUUUCUGCCUUUGCAGAUAAGGUAGCCAGACUACCUUUUUAUUACAUUUACCUUGUCUGUCCUGAUUUAAUAUAGCACCGCCAACGCGGUGCUUUUUUUA
This 184-nucleotide non-coding RNA is filed under the name Brenneria goodwinii. RNAcentral describes it as "GcvB RNA". It matches the Rfam family "GcvB RNA". From Rfam's summary of the family: The gcvB gene encodes a small untranslated RNA involved in expression of the dipeptide and oligopeptide transport systems in Escherichia coli. Included several unknown homologues in alignment (Bateman A pers obs). It base-pairs with SorC. Lineage: Bacteria; Pseudomonadati; Pseudomonadota; Gammaproteobacteria; Enterobacterales; Pectobacteriaceae. The record is from Rfam by way of RNAcentral.